AUGCUCUAGUAUAGAGAAUCCUGAGUAUACGAUACCCCGUUGGGUGUUGUUAAUAGUUGUUUUUGGAGCACGAGUAGGAGCAGAAGUAGGAAACUCUACAUCAACGUGCCGUAGAUAGUUUUGAGGACCUUGAGACAUAACCCAGUAUUACUAGCAGCUGUUAAGCAAUUGCUAAUCAGGUGAGUCGUGAGGAAAGCUAUAGGAACUACUUGAUAGUUGUGGAGUUUUAGAAGAUGAAGGAGUUCUUAGUUGUCAAAAGUUUGUAAAUAAAUAAAGUGUUGUACUCAGACUAUUAUAAGUUUUAAUGAAAGUUUAGUUUGUUUCC
Molecule: long non-coding RNA, 325 nt
Organism: Helianthus annuus (common sunflower)
Lineage: Eukaryota; Viridiplantae; Streptophyta; Magnoliopsida; Asterales; Asteraceae
Exons: 3
Source: RefSeq, a predicted model, not a curated record